Molecule: ribosomal RNA, 1218 nt
Filed under: Asida lepidoptera
Lineage: Eukaryota; Metazoa; Arthropoda; Insecta; Coleoptera; Tenebrionidae
Also listed under: 3 other names
Description: SSU rRNA
Rfam family: Eukaryotic small subunit ribosomal RNA
Source: RNAcentral
UUGUCUCAAAGAUUAAGCCAUGCAUGUCUCAGUACAAGCCGAAUUAAGGUGAAACCGCGAAAGGCUCAUUAAAUCAGUUAUGGUUCCUUAGAUCGUACCCACAUUUACUUGGAUAACUGUGGUAAUUCUAGAGCUAAUACAUGCAAACAGAGCUCCGACCGGAGACGGAAGGAGCGCUUUUAUUAGAUCAAAACCAAUCGGUGGCGGUUUCCGUCAUCGUACAACUUGGUGACUCUGAAUAACUUUACGCUGAUCGCACGGUCUCGCACCGGCGACGCAUCUUUCAAAUGUCUGCCUUAUCAACUGUCGAUGGUAGGUUCUGCGCCUACCAUGGUUGUAACGGGUAACGGGGAAUCAGGGUUCGAUUCCGGAGAGGGAGCCUGAGAAACGGCUACCACAUCCAAGGAAGGCAGCAGGCGCGCAAAUUACCCACUCCCGGCACGGGGAGGUAGUGACGAAAAAUAACGAUACGGGACUCAUCCGAGGCCCCGUAAUCGGAAUGAGUACACUCUAAACCCUUUAACGAGGAUCAAUUGGAGGGCAAGUCUGGUGCCAGCAGCCGCGGUAAUUCCAGCUCCAAUAGCGUAUAUUAAAGUUGUUGCGGUUAAAAAGCUCGUAGUCGAAUCUGUGUCCCGCGCCGCCGGUUCAUCGUUCGCGGUGUUAACUGGCGUGCCGCGGGACGUCCUGCCGGUGGGCUUAGCUCGAGAGGGCGGCCCAACUCAAUCCCGCCGCGGUGCUCUUCAUUGAGUGUCGAGGUGGGCCGGCACGUUUACUUUGAACAAAUUAGAGUGCUUAAAGCAGGCUAAAACUUCGCCUGAAUACUGUGUGCAUGGAAUAAUGGAAUAGGACCUCGGUUCUAUUUUGUUGGUUUUCGGAACCCCGAGGUAAUGAUUAAUAGGAACGGAUGGGGGCAUUCGUAUUGCGACGUUAGAGGUGAAAUUCUUGGAUCGUCGCAAGACGGACAGAAGCGAAAGCAUUUGCCAAAAACGCUUUCAUUGAUCAAGAACGAAAGUUAGAGGUUCGAAGGCGAUCAGAUACCGCCCUAGUUCUAACCAUAAACGAUGCCAGCUAGCGAUCCGCCGACGUUCCUCCGAUGACUCGGCGGGCAGCUUCCGGGAAACCAAAGCUUUUGGGUUCCGGGGGAAGUAUGGUUGCAAAGCUGAAACUUAAAGGAAUUGACGGAAGGGCACCACCAGGAGUGGAGCCUGCGGCUUAAUU